RNAcentral lists this ribosomal RNA (470 nucleotides) under uncultured bacterium. RNAcentral's name for it is "bacterial SSU rRNA". It matches the Rfam family "Bacterial small subunit ribosomal RNA", at positions 28 to 507 of the family's 1533-position model. The record is from RNAcentral.
GAUGAACGCUGGCGGCGUGCUUAACACAUGCAAGUCGAACGGUGAAACAGGAGCUUGCUCCUGCGGAUCAGUGGCGAACGGGUGAGUAACACGUGAGCAAUCUGCCCCGGACUCUGGGAUAAGCGUUGGAAACGACGUCUAAUACCGGAUACGAGCUGCGAAGGCAUCUUCAGCAGCUGGAAAGAAUUUCGGUCCGGGAUGAGCUCGCGGCCUAUCAGCUUGUUGGUGAGGUAACGGCUCACCAAGGCGACGACGGGUAGCCGGCCUGAGAGGGUGACCGGCCACACUGGGACUGAGACACGGCCCAGACUCCUACGGGAGGCAGCAGUGGGGAAUAUUGCACAAUGGGCGCAAGCCUGAUGCAGCAACGCCGCGUGAGGGACGACGGCCGUUCGGGUUAGUAAACCUUCUUUAGUAGGGAAGAAGCGAAAGUGACGGUACCUGCAGAAAAAGCACCGGCUAACUACGUG